This is a long non-coding RNA of Mirounga angustirostris (Northern elephant seal), 5640 nucleotides long. RefSeq lists it as uncharacterized. The record is from RefSeq and is a predicted model, not a curated record. NCBI's taxonomy places the organism in Eukaryota, Metazoa, Chordata, Mammalia, Carnivora, Phocidae. The transcript has 6 exons.
AGGGUCAGGCAGGAAAAGAGCAAUCCCAGCAACAGCGGGAAGCCGGGAAGCCAGCUGGCCUGCUCCUACAGGUCCCCAGCUUGCCUGCGUCCCAGUCCCGAUCCCAGCCACUCGGCUCCCUCCCCUGGGAGAAUGUCCUCGCUGCCCGGAGGCCCAGCAGCCAGAAUGAGGCAGGAGGCAGGGCUGGGACGCACCGUGGGGCCCCUCUCUGCCUGACAGCCGCCCUGAGGACAGACCUGAAGCUCCCCUCGGAAGGAGCGGGAGCGGGGGAGCGGGUGCUCCUCUCCCUUCUGGCUGGCGGGAGAGAGGCUUGGGAACCAGCUUUCAGUUUGCUUGCACUCGCCAGAGUCCCCGCUCCUUCUCUGGUUUUCUGCCUUUACCCCAGUGACCCCGGAAGCAGAGCCUUCCCUCCGACCCUCCCUCUGGGGCCCACCUAAAUGCAGCCUCUGGAAAGGGUCUGCUCCCUUGUCCUCCCACCCCCACCCCUACAGGGAUCUUGCGCCAUUUCGCUGUUGUCCGCAGUUCAAGGCACUGCCUUCCCCGGGCAGCAACCACGCAGAGGCUUCGUCUGGUUUUAUUUUUUACCCCAUUUAUUCCCAAAUCCCUCAUUCCUGUGUCAACCCCACCUCCUAGAGGCACAAGCUCUUGUGGGCCGCGAGCCUGGAUGAGGCGGCCGGGGGCUGCACCCGCCCCCUCCUCUACUCCUCUGCGCACACGGCAUGCUGCUGACUGCUGGGGGUCCCGUCCCGCCCGCACAAAAGCCCUCCUGCAGGUCCGUCCUGGGCCAACUUGCCGGUGGCGCGCGUGUGUCCCCAGAAGUGGAAUUUCCGGCCCCUCCGUGAUGACACACUCAGCUUUCCCGAGCAAUGCCUGGCGGCCUCGGGAGUGCUGUGACGGUCCCCGUGUCCCCAGAUCGUCCACGGUCUGCUGGCUCACCAGCUUCUGCCAGGCCGAGGGGCGCGCAGACCCAGACCGGCACCUCACCGCCGUUGUGCUCGCGUGAUUGUAGAGAGACACGCAGUCGUGAGAAACAGAUCCCAUAGAUGCUUCUGUGCAUUUUCCCUGAUUGUCACCUAACUACAAUGCGGAAUCACCCCGGAAAUUUAUAUUUAAACAGUCUGUUGACUUUAUCCAGAUGUCGUCACUUUUACAGAAAAUGGCAGUUAUUAUUGCUUUGAUUAUAGAAGCAAUACACAUUUAUUAUAAAAUAUUUGAAAAAUGAAGAAAAUAGUAAGUCAAAAUCGGACUACCCAGAAACAAUAAUGAGUCAUAUUGGAUGUCUUUUCUGGUUCCCUCCGUAGACAGGACUGAUUAAUCUGUAGGGUUCAGACUGAUUGAUAUUCUUGGCACAAUGAAGAGCUGAGCCCUUCCAGCGAUGUGGCCGCUGGAGCGUCCUGUGAGGUUCAUCCACGUGAAGGGUGAGGAGGAAUGCCUCGGCAGCCGGCAGACGGACAAAGUCACCUCCAUGCGGAGACGUGAGUGACUGCAGAUUUCUAGAGAGGACGUGGGGAGUAGGAAGUGUAGCUGGAACCUGUGUCCAGUUGGCAGGUAACUGGGUGAGGGCGCCGUGGGGUCUUCCAACGAGCCAGUGCGCUGGGAAGAGCAUCCACGGAGCCUUUCAGAAAACAUUACCUGAAUGGACGAUCUAGUCACGGGCUUCAUCCGAGUAACCAGGCUGCAGCGGUCAUCUGCACGAGGGGACGGUGGUGAGGAUGGCGCGGCCACCUGACCGCGGGGUCCAUGCUCCCACCCGCCCCGCGGUCAAGGCCGUGCAGGUGGGUGGUGCAAAACCGUGCAGCUGUCCAGAAUCGGGAGAUUAGGGACGCAGGGGAGGGGCAUGGGCUCCGACAGGAACUGGUGAGCUCAACACUCACUGAGGAAAGACAAUAGGUAUUGUCUACAUUUUACAAAGCAAGAAAGAGUUUUCAGUAGCCUAUUUAAAGUUAUCAAUGUGACCACAGGCAAGACUAAAACUACCCCAACCCUUGAGGAAACACAUAGGCGCACACACAGACAUCGGACGAUGUCGAACGCUGUCUCACUCAGAUUUUGGUGAAAAAGAAAUGCGCGUAGCCGUUGAAUGUCUAAAGAGACUCGGAUCUGCAUUUAUAUUUAAGCAGCUGGAAAUCAAAGACACGUGAUCCAGCGUGGGUGGGAUAUAACUCAGGGCAUUCUGAGAUAGCUAUCAAAUGGAAGAAGGCAUGCUCCUCUAAGUCAUCGGAUUCCAGGAGUUAAAAUACACCGGAAAUACAUCUGACUCGUGCAGAUUCUUCUCCUCCCAAAACCAUGUUUCAGUGUGACAAGUUUCCCUCUAUAACUGUUUGAAAAAUUAACGUUCUGGGAACCGUAAAAAUAUCCAUGUCUAUGGGAUUGGUUAAACAAACUGUCCUGUCCAUGAGAUGAAUUUUAAGCCACCUUUAAAGAAAGAAAGGUGUAGAUCUGUUUGUUGAUAUUGAUGACAUAGUAUUAAUUAUCAUAGAAAGUCAAGAGUAUGGAUUAUAUAUAUACGUAAUUAUUAAAUUGUAUAAAGGAUGUGCAUAUGUAAGAUUUUGCAUGAACAUGUAUCUUAUAGAGGACACAAGAAAAUGUUAGUGCUGUGCUUCCUUCGGAGGAAAGGACAAUUUUAUCUUUCACGUUAUAAUCCUCUGUACCUUUUGAAUUUUUGAAAAUCGGCAUUUACUACUGUUUUUUGUGAUGUGUUUAUUUAAUCUCCCCCCACCUUUUUAUUUUUUUAUUUUUUUACGAUUUUAUUUAUUUAUUUGACAGAGAGAGACAGUGAGAGAGGGAACACAAGCAGGAGGAGUGGGAGAGGGAGAAGCAGGCUCCCCGCGGAGCAGGGAGCCCGAUGCGGGGCUCGAUCCCAGGACCCUGGGAUCAUGACCUGAGCCGAAGGCAGACGCUUAACUGACUGAGCCACCCAGGCAUCCCUCCCCCCACCUUUUAAAAUUGAAGUAUAGUUGACACAUGAUGUUACAUCAGUGUCAGGUGCAACAGAGUGAUUCAACAAGUCUGUGCAUUCAUUGUGCGGUGCUCCCCACGAGAGUCGUUACCACCUGUCACUGGAAAGCCCAUGACGGUACCAUCGACUCGACUCCCUAGGCUGUGCCUUCCAUUCCGUGACUUACUCCAUAACUGGAAACCUGGGCCUCCCUCUCCCGUCCCCACCCCCUCCCCCCACGACCAUCAGUGUGUUCUCUGUAUUUAUAGGACUGAUUCUGUUUUGUUUAUUCAUUUGUUUUGUUUUUUAGAUUGCACAUAUAAGUGAAAUCAUACGGUAUUUGUCUUUCUCUGUCUGACUUACUUCACUUAGCGUAAUACCCUCUAGGUCCAUCCAUGUUGUUGCAAAUGGCAAGAUUCAUUUUUUAUGACUGAGUAAUAUUCCAUAUCUCUAUUUAUCUCUCAUCUAUCUAUCUAUCUAUCUAUCUAUCUAUCUAUCUAUCUAUCUAUCUAUCUAUCUAUCUAUCAUGUCUGUCCCCAAGUGAAAUACUGCCCAUGCUGCUCUACAAACCCCUUUUGCAAAGAACACUCAACCUUCCAUAUCUUUCAAGCGCAUCUGUCUCAUCCUUUUCAAUGUGUGCCUGGGAUUUCCAAUAUGGUGGUAGGAACACACAUUCUUGGAAAAUCAGAAAACCUUCCUGAAACACUGGCGAACGGUGACUUUGAAAUUGCUUCCCAGGGCAGAGAGGAGCCGGGUGCUGGCGCCCUGCACGGCGGGGGUGGGGGUCCCAGGUGAGGGGUCUGAGCCGAGCCGAAACCCUGCUACCCGUGGUUUCCCUCUGCCCAGCAAGGACUCCAGGGAAACUCCCUCCCUGCUGCUCUCCUGGCAUUUCUCCUCCUGUACCCCAAGCUCAUGUGUGUGUGUGUGUGUGUGUAUGAAAUUACUGCUAACCCAGUGGUAGGAAAGCCUUUCUCGGAGUCUGCCAGCCCCCCGGUGACCAGACAGGGAGGAGACCGACUCUAAAGCCACCGACCUUAUUGCUUUGAGAACAAACCUGAGGUGCUCCGUCAGCUCCGUCUGCCGUUACAGACCAGACCGCAGAGCCCACAGCACAGAACACGUGGUCAUUCCUCCUGCCAGGCUGUGACCCUCAGAAGACUGACCCCACCCCGGGGCAGGGGCAUCCAAGAGGAGCCCUACGGGUCACUCGUCCAGCAAGCCUGCAUUAGGAGGUUUCACACCUGUGGGUCCCUGCCACAGCGCACAGCUCUUCCCCACGAACACGGUCCUGCCUCCCCUCGGUGACCGAGGGUCAGCAGUGGGCCAGGUCACAGUUCAGCAGGUCACAGCAGGUCAUGGUUCCUACUGGGGUCACCCGGCCACUCUUACUAGUUCCUGCUUUUAUUCUUUAUCUUUGCCGUAUCCAGCUCUGGAAAUGAGGGCUUUUCUCAGCUCACUGACUCCGGUUUCACGUUCUGCUGGGCAGGAAGAGAGCGGGUCACGACUGGGAGUCAGGAGGACCCCUGGCUGGGGACAAGAGGUAUCGAUUCCUUCCUCCCGGAGCCCUCCAUGCAGAUGGAGAGAAGAAGAGGGAAUACGCUGCCCUGCGGGGCUCUGCAUCCUUGCUGGAGCCUUCCUGAGCACACUGGCAGGACAGAUCCACCCUGCUCCCCCGAGCUCGCUUCCUGUCCCCGAAGGACUUGUGGACAUGGAGGGGCCCCAGGGCAACCCUCCUGUUUGGUGGUUUCUUAAUCGUUUGUGCUCAUGCUGAUCCUUGUGUGUGGAUCAUGUGAUAGACCUUGUUCUGAGACUUUUUUCCACUAAAAGUGUACUAUGAAACUCAAAGCCUUCCUUUUUCUUUUUACUGAUCGGAUAAUCUGUCACAGCAUGGAGGUCAUGAGUCACUCAUUCACCAUCCCAUCGACGGGCGUGCGGGGCUGCUAGGGUCUUCCUCUGCCAGGGUUGGUGUGGAGACCGUCCUCACUGACGUCUGAACGUAGCGCCCGUUAUCUGCCCACCUCGCUGCCCCGUUUCUCGGGGACAUCAAGGACAGAGCACAGGCAAGGUUGUUCUCCUGCAGAGCCGCCUCUGGGGACCCAGUCACGGUAUGACCUCACUGCUUUUGAAUUUUCUUUCCACCAGACCCUGUUCCUGGGUGUGGUUGCUCCUUCCCCCUGUUAUGUUCUUCCAGGCUCUGCAGAAAAAAAAAAGGAAUUCAUGGACCAGGUUCUUGUAUGAAGGCCAUUUGGAAAAUUCAUGGGCUGUUUUUGGGAAAGUGUUCUGCCUUUUUUCUAAAUAAGGGGAGAGAAGACAGGAUGAUUAAUCCAGGCGAGGCCUCCCAUAAUCUGGGAAUUAAUUCUUCCAAAUUUCUCUUGGGCUCAGGAGGAGUGUUGGCCUGGUGAAGGCAUGACUUCAAGCCUGGCCCAUGCCGGCACUCUGUAGGUGGCCAGGCUCAGCGCGGGCUUUGCAGCGGGCCCUCCCCCAAGCACUGGCCUGGGAGCUGGACCCUGCCCCACCAGUGGCUCCACUCCCAGCCGCAAAGGUGAUUUGGCCAGACUCCAUCAGUGCUUUCCUUUUAGGGUAAAAUGCACAGAGGUAAGAAACCUUCAUUAUGCGCCACUGUUUUCGGCUUGGAAAAAAAAUGUGAAGGUCAAUGUUGUAGAUUUUUUAAAUGAUAAUACCUUGUAACGUUGCUAAAACAG